This 159-nucleotide long non-coding RNA is filed under the name dengue virus type 4. RNAcentral describes it as "Dengue virus 4 partial sfRNA2". The stretch from base 86 to 157 matches the Rfam family "Flavivirus DB element". The record is from RNAcentral. Lineage: Riboviria; Orthornavirae; Kitrinoviricota; Flasuviricetes; Amarillovirales; Flaviviridae.
UUGAAGUCAGGCCACUUGUGCCACGGCUUGAGCAAACCGUGCUGCCUGUAGCUCCGCCAAUAACGGGAGGCGUAAUAAUCCCCGGGGAGGCCAUGCGCCACGGAAGCUGUACGCGUGGCAUAUUGGACUAGCGGUUAGAGGAGACCCCUCCCAUCACCA